Long non-coding RNA from Portunus trituberculatus (swimming crab), 3548 nucleotides. RefSeq lists it as uncharacterized. The record is from RefSeq and is a predicted model, not a curated record. Lineage: Eukaryota; Metazoa; Arthropoda; Malacostraca; Decapoda; Portunidae. The transcript is spliced from 2 exons.
AUCAAAAUGCCUUCCUUCACGAGUUUGGGCUAAAGGAUAUUAGUUGAUUACUAUUUGAUUGGCUUAAUGGUGAAUUUUAAGGAAAGUCAUCAGGAUAAUUAGUUGCCUCUUCCUCCUGUUGUCCAAUGUAUGUCAGCAUUCUUGAGCUUGUAUCGUGAUGUUGGCUGAUGUAACACCUCCCCCUCAUAGGCCCGCAGCAGGAAGGCAAACAAGAAGAAGAUGCAGAAGGUGGACAGCAGCAUACUUGGCUUCAAUGUCACCUCCAAUGAGCGCAUCAAUGUUGGAGAGCGCGAGUAUGCUGAAUGAAGCAGACCAGGCAGCACAGGUCCCCUAUCAGGAAAACAUGCGCUUCACUGGGAAUAGAACUAGAUGGAGAGACGGAAAGUUACCCCAUGAGAGCAAGUGGAAUUGGACCAAGUAGUGGCAACGUGGGUACAAAAUGAACCAGAAUAAACUCAUUAACGUCCACUCUGAAAAAAAAGUAUUUCUUAUGCAAUUGUGUGGAUAUCAUAUUGGGGAGGGAAUGGAGGAUGGGAAGCCAAUGCUCAGAUUAUCUACUAGGCACAUUUAGCUUGCCUCAAGUGUUUACUGUGAGCAGGUGGAGGGAGGAUGGCUUGUGUGUAGUAGCAUUUGUGGCUGGUCCAGUGUUGCUCCCUGCCUUGUCUCGUCUUGAGCAUAUUUUCCAGGAAAGUAUGAUGAUUUAGUUAUUAAAAGUCAAAGUUGUCUGUGAUAGUGGCCUGCUUACAGAUUUAGGCAAGUUCUUGAAACUGGAACAUUACUACUUGAAAUUUACUACAGCUUUAUAUAUCUUGGAGAGGAAUAAUGUGCAUACCUAUAUUCCAUGUUCUGCUGUAGGAUGGAAGGAAAGAAUGGCAUAAAUUUGUAUUAAAUCCACCAGUUUAAGUUUUCUAUCACCCUGUUGUUCAGAUAGCAGCUUUUCCUUGAAAUGAAGAAUUUUUUUUUUAUGAGCAAUUACAAAGAAACACUAAACUCAAAAAGGAUGUGAAACCAGCUGGAAUCUAUGACACUUACAAAAAACAUCACUUCAUGUCUGGUGGUCUUGUAUCUCAGUAAAGUGAGACUAGCUGUUACCUAACCAUCACAAAGUCCAGGCUAGUGACAUCUUGCUUCCAGCCUGAAAAGUCUGCUCUGCCAUCCAUGUUUUGAGGUUACCUGUAGGAAGAUCAAAAUUCAAAUGAGAAUACAUACAUUUAUCUAGUUUGUUGUUCAUUGUGGUCUUUAGUUACAUAACCUUCACUUAUUACCUCUGUUUCAUUCUGAAUUUGCUUUUAAGUUAUCUUUUCAUCUGCUGACAAUCUUAUAGGCUGGGGACACACGAGUGACUUUGUGGCGGGGAUGUAGCUCUCCAUGACUUUCCAUUGUUUAGAAGCUGUCCCAUGCCCAGGAGCGUCAGUGGCCAGUGACUGUGGCGAGCUGUCGCUCAUCCCCACCACAGUGUGACGUGACUGUUCGAGGACCUGGGCAAACAAGUGACUGUGGCUGAGCUAUGGGAAGCCAGUCACAUACCAAACGUGGUGCCACGACGUAGUGCCACAGUUGCUAAACCCCGCCACAAAGUUGCUUGUGUGUUCCCGACCAAACUUUGACUAUUUAUAGAUUCUCAGCAGAUCAGAAGACUUGAGAGACAACACUGGUGGAAGGGAGUGUGAUGUUACGUGACUACUGUCCACGAUUGUGCUGGUGCCCACCUAAAACUGUUCUUGACCCUUUGGCUGCUUAUGACACUAUCACUCACUUCCAUUUGAGUACCCAGAUGCAACUGUAAUGAGCAAAGAUAUAACACAGCACUAAAAGGUUAGAACAACUUGAGUACUCCUUUGUCAUCAAUGGUGUCUUGAAAUUAUAUUCAAUUUUUUUAUGCUUGUGUUUUGUUGAGCUUUAGGAGAACCCUCAGCAGUUAGAGUUGAUUCAGAUGUUCUCAAUAGCAGAACAUGGAAAACAUCAAUUAUGCCGAGAUCUUCAAGCACAGAACAGUAGAUGCUACCAUUUGAUGGAGCAUUUGUUGGUCUAGUUUUCAAGUGAGCCCUUGCUGGUCGCUGGUUUUAAUCUGAGUUAUUAGUCUUAAGUAAUACACUGGUGCAGCAGAUUCACAUCGACUAAAUCCUUACUCAUUGAGAUGUAUUACUGGUUCAGUAUUAUCUUAGGUCAUGAGAGUCAGUUAGAAUGUAAUGGUUUAAUACUUAUGCCUUCCCUAAUGAUGUAAGCUGACUGCUGACUACCAUUCUUUCUCACUUCAUUACUUGUACGCUUUACUACACUUCAUGUCAUUUGUGCAGGAAAUGUAUAUACCAUAGUUUCAUCUCGUCACUACAUAUUCUUCCUUACGACAGACAUGACAGAGUUGUGUCCUUUCUUUCUGUUCCUGUCAUUAUGUUGCCAAAAUGGCUGCCUGCUUGACUGUUCAUGCAGACAGGUACAUAUGCUAUCUUAUUUGUUACUGCCAUGUAUAGUUGCAUCAUUUAAUUACUGCUUUCCUUUUUGCCUAAAUAUGUGAUGGACAAUAGUAAGCAGUAAAAUGACAUCUCAAAACCAAUUUCUACCACUCCAGUUAAAUUCGUGCAUUAGGGAUGUAUGUAAACCUGUAAAAAUUUUGAAUCUUUUCAUAUAUUUGUAACUGUUGCUUCUCUCAACAACAAAUUUAAUAACAAAGUAUUCUGUGAGGUAGACUGUAUGACAAAAUGUACUCCUAGGAUAAAUAAAACCAACAGUGACGACUGCCAGGGCUUAAGGUGGCUUCGUCAUUUUAAAAUUGAAUGCUUACACUGGAGUUGCUUGGCAUAAGGUGUAUCAUACUCCCAGGGAAACUAGCUAUCAGGUUAUACCUAAGGUUGUAAUACAAGAAGUACUAUUUUUGUUAAUACAUGCAUGGAACUUUUUGUCUGACAUUCAGACUUAACAAUCAGUGGUUGUUACCGAUAUACUGCCGUGUGUGGCUGGCUACUCUUCUGUGUACUUAAUUAAAAAUUAUUUAUUAUUUUUUUAUUGACGAAAACAUAAAGGGAACCAAAUAUGCUCUCAAACUUAACUGAUUUACCUGACUUGAGAUAUACAUGACUUACUGGGAGGAGCAUAGAAAUAUGGCAGCUUCCAAACUUUGAGUUAGGUUUUUAACAUGAAAAGCUGCUCUUCAUUAUAAGUAGAUAAAGUUUUGAUAUGAAGUAUACACAAUAUGAACUGCUUGGUCAUUUAUUGAUAUAAUGAGCUGCUGUUUAUGUUGGCAAGUGCAGAACAGCCUGGAAGAGUAAGAUGCUGUAUAAUGAAAGGGCUGCUACUUUUACAUGAGAGAAUUGACAACACCAUUAAUAAAAUCAGUAUUAUAUUUUGAAGCUCAGAAGGCAUGGAAACUUAAGUGUGCAAGCACCAACACCUCACGUGUGCUGCAGUGCUUGAGUGUGGUCUUCCGGGGUCAGUGCUGUGUGAGGCUGUUGUUAUGGGCAAGAGGACUGUGCCUAUGUUGUUAAUACAGAAAUGUUUUUGGUGCUCAAAUCCAGAGAUUCUGGAAUCCUUAAUACAAAAGAAAAAAAUGA